GGGUUGUGAGGUUAAGCGACUAAGCGUACACGGUGGAUGCCCUGGCAGUCAGAGGCGAUGAAGGGCGUGCUAAUCUGCGAUAAGCGCCGGUAAGGUGAUAUGAACCGUUAUAACCGGCGAUACCCGAAUGGGGAAACCCAGUGUGAUUCGUCACACUAUCAUUAACUGAAUCCAUAGGUUAAUGAGGCGAACCGGGGGAACUGAAACAUCUAAGUACCCCGAGGAAAAGAAAUCAACCGAGAUUCCCCCAGUAGCGGCGAGCGAACGGGGAGGAGCCCAGAGCCUGAAUCAGCAUGUGUGUUAGUGGAAGCGUCUGGAAAGGCGCGCGAUACAGGGUGACAGCCCCGUACACAAAAGCGCAUGUGCUGUGAGCUCGAUGAGUAGGGCGGGACACGUGGUAUCCUGUCUGAAUAUGGGGGGACCAUCCUCCAAGGCUAAAUACUCCUGACUGACCGAUAGUGAACCAGUACCGUGAGGGAAAGGCGAAAAGAACCCCGGCGAGGGGAGUGAAAAAGAACCUGAAACCGUGUACGUACAAGCAGUGGGAGCACCCUUUGGGGUGUGACUGCGUACCUUUUGUAUAAUGGGUCAGCGACUUAUAUUCUGUAGCAAGGUUAACCGCAUAGGGGAGCCGUAGGGAAACCGAGUCUUAACCGGGCGUUAAGUUGCAGGGUAUAGACCCGAAACCCGGUGAUCUAGCCAUGGGCAGGUUGAAGGUUGGGUAACACUAACUGGAGGACCGAACCGACUAAUGUUGAAAAAUUAGCGGAUGACCUGUGGCUGGGGGUGAAAGGCCAAUCAAACCGGGAGAUAGCUGGUUCUCCCCGAAAGCUAUUUAGGUAGCGCCUCGUGAAUUCAUCUCCGGGGGUAGAGCACUGUUUCGGCUAGGGGGCCAUCCCGGCUUACCAACCCGAUGCAAACUGCGAAUACCGGAGAAUGUUAUCACGGGAGACACACGGCGGGUGCUAACGUCCGUCGUGAAGAGGGAAACAACCCAGACCGCCAGCUAAGGUCCCAAAGUCAUGGUUAAGUGGGAAACGAUGUGGGAAGGCCCAGACAGCCAGGAUGUUGGCUUAGAAGCAGCCAUCAUUUAAAGAAAGCGUAAUAGCUCACUGGUCGAGUCGGCCUGCGCGGAAGAUGUAACGGGGCUAAACCAUGCACCGAAGCUGCGGCAGCGACACUGUGUGUUGUUGGGUAGGGGAGCGUUCUGUAAGCCUGUGAAGGUGGCCUGUGAGGGUUGCUGGAGGUAUCAGAAGUGCGAAUGCUGACAUAAGUAACGAUAAAGCGGGUGAAAAGCCCGCUCGCCGGAAGACCAAGGGUUCCUGUCCAACGUUAAUCGGGGCAGGGUGAGUCGACCCCUAAGGCGAGGCCGAAAGGCGUAGUCGAUGGGAAACGGGUUAAUAUUCCCGUACUUGGUGUUACUGCGAAGGGGGGACGGAGAAGGCUAUGUUGGCCGGGCGACGGUUGUCCCGGUUUAAGCGUGUAGGUGUGUGUUCCAGGUAAAUCCGGUUCACUUUAACACUGAGGCGUGAUGACGAGGCACUACGGUGCUGAAGCAACAAAUGCCCUGCUUCCAGGAAAAGCCUCUAAGCAUCAGGUAACAUCAAAUCGUACCCCAAACCGACACAGGUGGUCAGGUAGAGAAUACCAAGGCGCUUGAGAGAACUCGGGUGAAGGAACUAGGCAAAAUGGUGCCGUAACUUCGGGAGAAGGCACGCUGACACGUAGGUGAAGUGAUUUACUCAUGGAGCUGAAGUCAGUCGAAGAUACCAGCUGGCUGCAACUGUUUAUUAAAAACACAGCACUGUGCAAACACGAAAGUGGACGUAUACGGUGUGACGCCUGCCCGGUGCCGGAAGGUUAAUUGAUGGGGUCAGCGCAAGCGAAGCUCCUGAUCGAAGCCCCGGUAAACGGCGGCCGUAACUAUAACGGUCCUAAGGUAGCGAAAUUCCUUGUCGGGUAAGUUCCGACCUGCACGAAUGGCGUAAUGAUGGCCGGCUGUCUCCACCCGAGACUCAGUGAAAUUGAACUCGCUGUGAAGAUGCAGUGUACCCGCGGCAAGACGGAAAGACCCCGUGAACCUUUACUAUAGCUUGACACUGAACAUUGAGCCUUGAUGUGUAGGAUAGGUGGGAGGCUUUGAAGCGUGGACGCCAGUCUGCGUGGAGCCAACCUUGAAAUACCACCCUUUAAUGUUUGAUGUUCUAACGUGGACCCGUAAUCCGGGUUGCGGACAGUGUCUGGUGGGUAGUUUGACUGGGGCGGUCUCCUCCUAAAGAGUAACGGAGGAGCACGAAGGUUGGCUAAUCCUGGUCGGACAUCAGGAGGUUAGUGCAAUGGCAUAAGCCAGCUUGACUGCGAGCGUGACGGCGCGAGCAGGUGCGAAAGCAGGUCAUAGUGAUCCGGUGGUUCUGAAUGGAAGGGCCAUCGCUCAACGGAUAAAAGGUACUCCGGGGAUAACAGGCUGAUACCGCCCAAGAGUUCAUAUCGACGGCGGUGUUUGGCACCUCGAUGUCGGCUCAUCACAUCCUGGGGCUGAAGUAGGUCCCAAGGGUAUGGCUGUUCGCCAUUUAAAGUGGUACGCGAGCUGGGUUUAGAACGUCGUGAGACAGUUCGGUCCCUAUCUGCCGUGGGCGCUGGAGAACUGAGGGGGGCUGCUCCUAGUACGAGAGGACCGGAGUGGACGCAUCACUGGUGUUCGGGUUGUCAUGCCAAUGGCACUGCCCGGUAGCUAAAUGCGGAAGAGAUAAGUGCUGAAAGCAUCUAAGCACGAAACUUGCCCCGAGAUGAGUUCUCCCUGAGACUUAGAGUCUCCUGAAGGAACGUUGAAGACGACGACGUUGAUAGGCCGGGUGUGUAAGCGCAGCGAUGCGUUGAGCUAACCGGUACUAAUGAACCGUGAGGCUUAACCUUACAACGCCGAAG
Molecule: ribosomal RNA, 2925 nt
Filed under: Salmonella enterica subsp. enterica serovar Worthington
Lineage: Bacteria; Pseudomonadati; Pseudomonadota; Gammaproteobacteria; Enterobacterales; Enterobacteriaceae
Description: 23S ribosomal RNA
Rfam family: Bacterial large subunit ribosomal RNA
Source: RNAcentral